GGAGGCACUGAAACACAAGUCAACGCCAUGGUUCUUAGCCCAUUGCUCUGCCUUCAAUUGCCUCUUUUCUCCAACUUGCAGACAAGAAAACAGAACAACAACAACAAAAAGAGUUGAGAAUAAAGUCCUCCUGUAACAGAACCUCAUCUUUGAUACUCAAAUGGAACUUUAGGGUUCGAGGGACGGAGCUAGAAAUUUCUUCUAGUGGGGGCAACCCGAAAAUCAACUAAGGAAACCUUAUUAUAGUAUGGCUUAUACCCAAUAUGAUAAGUGAUAAGAAAAAUAUUAAUACAUGAUUACGUAAGAGAGAGGUUUUUCAAUCUGAAUGACAGAACAAGAGCACUUUUACUCAUAUAAUAUUUGAUAUGGAGUAUAUGCAGUAUGAAGGUAUGUUAGAUAUUAGUUACAUAUAUUUUCUUCAAAGAUAACGCGUGUAUAUUAUAUAAUUGUAGUCUGCAACUUAAUAAACGAAUCACUUGAGUAGGAGCAUAUGCCUCCGGUGAGCCUUCAUUGGCUCCUUCCACAUGUGGUAACGUUUUACAGACCCAGUUUCGGGAAAAUUGCUUUGGAAAGUGAAAAUGAGUUUUCACAGUAGUUUGUAAUAAGGAAAUGGAAUCUGAGAUGAAGUGUGGUGGAGGUGAGACCUGUUAUCUACGACUCUAUAAAUUUCAAAUUGCUCAUGCCCUUGACUAGUACAUAAGCUAUAAUGUUAAUUCGGAGCUUGAAAUUGACUUGGGCCAAUGGAACAAGGUUCAACCAUGGCAUGGCGGUCCAUAUGGAAUGAAUCAAUACACACUAACUUGAACGCCAAACAAUGACACAUUGUAGUUUGGGUGCAAAGCAAUAGUUCAAAUUUUAAUAGUCGCCUAUGAGAAAGACAUGAUGAGCUUAGGUGGGGGAAUACACCUUACAAGAACACGAUGAUUGUUAUACUUAGACAGGGAUGUAUCAUAUAGCCGCCGUGACAUAUGCAAGAAUCCGCCUUGAAUUACAAGGCAUAUAGAAGAAGAAUUAAAAAGUAGACUUUUUGGUGGUUGAUGCAAGCCCUGAGGAAAGCAUAACGCAGAGAGUCAAAUUCAAACAAUAUUUUUAACACAGUAGGGGAAUAGAAGUCACUCCUCAGCUGGUUUUAACACGACUGAACAAAUUUCCUUUUUCUUGAUUUUGAUUGAGUCGUUUACGAGUCUUG
RNAcentral lists this long non-coding RNA (1189 nucleotides) under Malus domestica (apple). RNAcentral describes it as "long non-coding RNA (MDOM_LNC005129)". Lineage: Eukaryota; Viridiplantae; Streptophyta; Magnoliopsida; Rosales; Rosaceae. The record is from RNAcentral.